Molecule: long non-coding RNA, 505 nt
Filed under: Neodiprion lecontei (redheaded pine sawfly)
Lineage: Eukaryota; Metazoa; Arthropoda; Insecta; Hymenoptera; Diprionidae
Description: uncharacterized LOC124293911, transcript variant X1
Source: RNAcentral
GCGGCACUUUGAAUUCACAAUCAGUUGUGUGGUCGUAAAUGUUCAGAAAAAUAAUCAAUAGCAAGUUAAAUACAUCAUGCCUGCUAAUUGAAAUGUUUAUAAAAUAUGUAUUAAAAAGGGAAAACUCCAAGUCACAUGCCCAUCACCAACGUCAACACACGCACAGCGUUUACCACUCGCUCAAACUUGUGACUCUAUUCUUCAUCAUUUUAAAAAGUUUUGAGAGGAAAUAUGAAGAAGAAAUCUGGACUACCUUUUUCCUGAGUGUAGAAGAUCAAAGGCUUCGUUGAUCUGAUCGAACGGAAGAUUUUGUGUGACAAACUCAUCCAGAAGCAGUUUCUUUGAUUGAUAAUCCUUGACCAGCUUGGGCACACUGUCUCGCGAUUUCCAACCGCCAAAUGCAGUUCCUUUCCAAACGCGACCAGUUACUAGUUGGAAUGGACGAGUACUAAUCUCUUGCCCAGCCCCAGCUACUCCGACAAUGACAGACGUGCCCCAACCUUUG